RNAcentral lists this transfer RNA (69 nucleotides) under Marmosa murina (murine mouse opossum). Its description in RNAcentral is "tRNA-Ser". It matches the Rfam family "tRNA". Rfam says of the family: Transfer RNA (tRNA) molecules are approximately 80 nucleotides in length. Their secondary structure includes four short double-helical elements and three loops (D, anti-codon, and T loops). Further hydrogen bonds mediate the characteristic L-shaped molecular structure. tRNAs have two regions of fundamental functional importance: the anti-codon, which is responsible for specific mRNA codon recognition, and the 3' end, to which the tRNAs corresponding amino acid is attached (by aminoacyl-tRNA synthetases). tRNAs cope with the degeneracy of the genetic code in two manners: having more than one tRNA (with a specific anti-codon) for a particular amino acid; and 'wobble' base-pairing, i.e. permitting non-standard base-pairing at the 3rd anti-codon position. Lineage: Eukaryota; Metazoa; Chordata; Mammalia; Didelphimorphia; Didelphidae. The record is from RNAcentral.
GAGAAAGUCAUAAGGGUUAUGAGGUUGACUUGAAAUUGAUCUUAGGGGGUUCAACUCCUCCCUUUCUUA